RNAcentral lists this ribosomal RNA (250 nucleotides) under uncultured bacterium. RNAcentral's name for it is "partial 16S ribosomal RNA". It matches the Rfam family "Bacterial small subunit ribosomal RNA", at positions 525 to 775 of the family's 1533-position model. The record is from RNAcentral. RNAcentral also lists the same sequence under 1 other name.
ACGUAGGUCCCGAGCGUUGUCCGGAUUUAUUGGGCGUAAAGGGAGCGCAGGCGGUUUAGUAAGUCUGAAGUUAAAGGCAUUGGCUCAACCAAUGUAUGCUUUGGAAACUGUUAGACUUGAGUGCAGAAGGGGAGAGUGGAAUUCCAUGUGUAGCGGUGAAAUGCGUAGAUAUAUGGAGGAACACCGGUGGCGAAAGCGGCUCUCUGGUCUGUCACUGACGCUGAGGCUCGAAAGCGUGGGUAGCGAACAG